GGAGAACUGCCGGUGACGAAACCGGAGGAAGGUGGGGAUGACGUCAAGUCAUCAUGGCCCUUACGGCCUGGGCUACACACGUGCUACAAUGGGUCGGUACAAAGGGUUGCCAAGCCGCGAGGUGGAGACUAAUCCCAAUAAAACCGAUCGUAGUCCGGAUCGCAGUCUGCCAACUCGACUGCGUGAAGUCGGAAUCGCUAGUAAUCGUGAAUCAGAAUGUCACGGUGAAUACGUUCCCGGGCCUU
RNAcentral lists this ribosomal RNA (245 nucleotides) under uncultured Pseudomonas sp. RNAcentral describes it as "partial 16S ribosomal RNA". It matches the Rfam family "Bacterial small subunit ribosomal RNA", at positions 1143 to 1382 of the family's 1533-position model. Lineage: Bacteria; Pseudomonadati; Pseudomonadota; Gammaproteobacteria; Pseudomonadales; Pseudomonadaceae. The record is from RNAcentral.